Molecule: non-coding RNA, 109 nt
Organism: Acanthosepion pharaonis
Lineage: Eukaryota; Metazoa; Mollusca; Cephalopoda; Sepiida; Sepiidae
Source: the annotation of a GenBank genome assembly
CGGCCACAUCACGUUGAAGCAAUAAUUCUCGUACGAUCACCGAAGUUAAGCAACCGCGAGACUAGACAGUACCUAGAUGGGUGACCGCUUGGGUAUACCAGGUACUGGA